Molecule: long non-coding RNA, 590 nt
Organism: Anolis carolinensis (green anole)
Lineage: Eukaryota; Metazoa; Chordata; Lepidosauria; Squamata; Anolidae
Exons: 3
Source: RefSeq, a predicted model, not a curated record
UUCAACUGUGACAUCACAGAAAGGGAUGCCAUGAUAAGAGCAUUGGAAGGUUGUGUGACAUCUGCUGUAUACAGUGAGCUAUCUGGUUACAGAGUGAAUUCCUGAGCAACCUGUUACCAUCAUAAUACAAUUGAUGUUAACAGUGCACACACAAGUGUCACUGGGAAAACUCAUCCUUUGAUGUUACAACACAGUAACUUGUAGCAGAGGGCUGAGUCACAGCACUGAAAAUUCCUCACUUCAGGAAGAAGGAAAUCCUUCAUAUAGAAAAUGAGUUUUUUUGCUUCCUCCAGAACUUUCUUGAGAAGAGCCACAGCUUCCUGGAUCUUAAUCUGUGAAGAAAACACACCAUUAUAGUUGUAGUGGGGAGAGGUUUGAUAGCAUUGUUCCAGAACACCAUUUUGCAGGAAAAUUCAACUUCAUGUCAAGUUGUAACUUCUGCAUGUCAAGUUUUUUUCAGACACAAGGAAAAAGACAUCCUAUAACCUCUGAGCCAAAACUGAAUCCUCAACAUGUUUCAAACCACAAGUAUUUGUGAAAUUGCUUAAUCGCUGGGCAAACCAACAAAAAAAAGUUACUGUGCUGAUGAA